Molecule: ribosomal RNA, 696 nt
Filed under: Triticum aestivum (bread wheat)
Lineage: Eukaryota; Viridiplantae; Streptophyta; Magnoliopsida; Poales; Poaceae
Description: partial small subunit ribosomal RNA
Source: RNAcentral
AUGUCAUCGGUGUAUCUAUUUACACUCCAAAGGACGGUAUAUCCUGGUCGUAGUACUAGUAGAAUUGAGAUUGAAUGCACUUUCUUCCCCGUCUUCCACUCUUCUUCCUCCUCUCUUCUUCUUCCUCCUCUCUUCUUCUUCCUCCUCUCUUCCCCAUCGUCGGCUGCACACCAUUUACCCCCGCUCACUGCUCGCCCGCCCGCGCCAUCUUCCUUGGUAGCUCGCACCAGACGCAAAUGCGCAGGCCUUCAUGAUUCCAGGACCUGGAAUCAUACCAGCCGAUGGUCGAAGAAGGAUUGGCCGGUGCUGCUGGCUGGCGUCAAGUUCGAUCCCACGGAUCAGGAGCUGAUCGAGCACCUUGAGGCCAAAGUGAGUGCUGACAACGCAAGAUUUCAGUCUCUCAUCGAUUUGUUCAUACCAACCAUCGACAGCGAGCACGGCAUAUGCUACACCCAACCUGAGAAACUUCCAGACCGGCAAUACCUUGCCGGUGAUGUUCAACGGCCGGCAAGACGGGCAGCAAAAAAGGUUCUGGUGCUGCACACCAACAAGAACUUCGACCAGCAGAGGACCAACUGGGUGAUGCACCAGCACCACCUCGGGGACCUGGAGCAAGAGAAGGAGCGGGAGCUGGUCCUCUGCAAGAUUUUCUACCAGACGAACACCAGGGCCAGGAGUAAAAAGAUUAUAAGUUAG